This 433-nucleotide ribosomal RNA is filed under the name uncultured bacterium. Its description in RNAcentral is "partial 16S ribosomal RNA". It matches the Rfam family "Bacterial small subunit ribosomal RNA", at positions 29 to 507 of the family's 1533-position model. The record is from RNAcentral.
AACGAACGCUGGCGGCAUGCCUAACACAUGCAAGUCGAACGAGACCUUCGGGUCUAUUGGCGCACGGGUGCGUAACGCGUGGGAACCUGCCCUUAGGUUCGGAAUAACUCCCCGAAAGGGGUGCUAAUUCCGGAUAAUGUCUUCGGACCAAAGAUUUAUCGCCUUUGGAUGGGCCCGCGUUGGAUUAGCUAGUUGGUAGGGUAAAAGCCUACCAAGGCGACGAUCCAUAGCUGGUCUGAGAGGAUGAUCAGCCACACUGGGACUGAGACACGGCCCAGACUCCUACGGGAGGCAGCAGUGGGGAAUAGUGGACAAUGGGCGAAAGCAUGAUCCAGCAAUGCCGCGUGAGUGAUGAAGGCCUUAGGGUUGUAAAGCUCUUUUACCCGGGAUGAUAAUGACAGUACCGGGAGAAUAAGCUCCGGCUAACUCCGUG